GGAUGUUAGGGCAAUCUGGCUAUGACAUCUGUCCCCAUUGAUCGCUAGGGUUGACCAGGCUGAUCUGGCUGACUGGGGGGGAGGUCCCCUUCCUCCCUCACCACUCUAUGUGUGUCCCUCCUGAAGCUACACACUCAGUCAAAGAGGACAACCCUCCCCAUAGAGGAGGACUGUUCCUUGGUCAAGGGUGUAUCAGUAGCUACUCUUCCCUGCUAGAACCUCCAACUAAGCUCUCAAAUAUAAUAACACUGAAGCAUUAGGGCGUCAACUUGUGAAGGAUACACAAACAUUCAGUUCAUGGUAGUUGGGCUGCAAACU
RNAcentral lists this small nuclear RNA (318 nucleotides) under Chinchilla lanigera (long-tailed chinchilla). RNAcentral describes it as "7SK RNA (ENSCLAG00000021489.1)". It matches the Rfam family "7SK RNA". Rfam says of the family: 7SK was discovered as an abundant small nuclear RNA in the mid-70s but a possible function has only recently been suggested. The record is from RNAcentral. Lineage: Eukaryota; Metazoa; Chordata; Mammalia; Rodentia; Chinchillidae.